Molecule: transfer RNA, 78 nt
Filed under: Escherichia coli
Lineage: Bacteria; Pseudomonadati; Pseudomonadota; Gammaproteobacteria; Enterobacterales; Enterobacteriaceae
Also listed under: 2 other names
Description: tRNA-Met
Rfam family: tRNA
About the family: Transfer RNA (tRNA) molecules are approximately 80 nucleotides in length. Their secondary structure includes four short double-helical elements and three loops (D, anti-codon, and T loops). Further hydrogen bonds mediate the characteristic L-shaped molecular structure. tRNAs have two regions of fundamental functional importance: the anti-codon, which is responsible for specific mRNA codon recognition, and the 3' end, to which the tRNAs corresponding amino acid is attached (by aminoacyl-tRNA synthetases). tRNAs cope with the degeneracy of the genetic code in two manners: having more than one tRNA (with a specific anti-codon) for a particular amino acid; and 'wobble' base-pairing, i.e. permitting non-standard base-pairing at the 3rd anti-codon position.
Source: RNAcentral
CGCGGGGUGGAGCAGCCUGGUAGCUCGUCGGGCUCAUAACCCGAAAGGUCGUCGGUUCAAAUCCGGCCCCCGCAACCA